GGAGAGUGAAUUUGCAGUGGGGAUCAGAUCAGCUCUAGUCGAAAAGGGUCUUGGGGCGUUGAUCUAUGCGGGGACAGGGAUAGUAGCAGGAAGCGAUCCAUCUUCAGAGUGGAAUGAGCUUGAUCUUAAGAUAUCUCAGUUCACCAAGUCAAUUGAAUAUGAACCAAAAACAGCUCUGCAUGCGAUUAAUUGAAGAAAGAGUACUUUGUUUGCAUGGGGAUGAUGAUGAUGAUUGAUGGGGUUUUCACAAUAGAAAGCAAUGUUGUCUCUCUUGUAAAUAAAAGGAAUAAUUAAUUGCUUUUAUCUGAUUGUUAAUGGGCUGAGCUCUUAUUGGUUGUAACUAGGUGAGG
Non-coding RNA from Camelina sativa (false flax), 350 nucleotides. The record is from RefSeq and is a predicted model, not a curated record. Lineage: Eukaryota; Viridiplantae; Streptophyta; Magnoliopsida; Brassicales; Brassicaceae.